UCUCUCAAGACUCCAUCAAUGACUCAACCCUAGAGCACCGCCGCCGACGGUAACCCUGUCUGUUCCUCGCCAUCAUUCUCUGACCCUCUCUUCUCUCUUCUCCCCUAAUGCCGAACAGGUCACUUCAACACUUAGUGUAGUGCACAUCGCCGGGCGGGGCAGUCCCUGGCACCGGGAGAACGACGACCUACUCCGGCCUCACGGGAUGCAGUACUUGGGCGCACCAAUGUGCGGUCCGCGGUUUGAGUCAGUUCAAUCCAAUGGUGUUGCACGUGCAGUGCUCUUGCUUGACUCUGAUUUUUGUGAAUCAGGUCGUCGUUUCUACGUGGAUGCAUUUUGUUCUCUCUGAUUUUUUGCUAUGUAGUGAAAAUUGCAUACUUGACUAUGAAGUGGAUGCAAACAGAUCAGUCUCACUCUGUUGGUCGCUCCAUAUAUUAAAAAAAGAUCACUUGAGACGUGUGGAUCUGUUUGUAAAUCUAACAUUGUGCAAUUUUGAACGAACUGUAUUGUAAUUGUUUCCGAAAAGCAGUCCAUUUGGUUAACUAUUUUCUACGUUUUUACAUAUCAAAAAAGGUUUUUGCAGUUAAAAAUGGCACAUUCUUUAUGGUUCACUCCGUGACAUAGUAUUUAUCUGUGUGCACGAAGUGAGCCAACCUUUUCCUCUUGCCGUAGAAAAUUUGAUGCAGCUUACUUGCAUUGACCAUGUAGUCAAAAGAAGCUAAAAACGACGUAGUACACUUUGAUGCAUGUCGGGGUUCACUUGCCCAUUCAUAAAAAAAAGUUGAAAAAAGAAGACAACAAAAGCUCCUAUGAGAAAGUUUACGCUUGACAAAAGAAAUCAUGCAGUGCACUUAUCGGUCUGAUGCAGUGCGGUUUUCUGUCAGAUGCGGUCCACUCGCCCGGUCUAUGCAUGUAAAAAAUAGUGAGUUUGGAAAAAACUCACGCGGUUCACUUUUGGUAUUGUCGCGGCCCAUUUACGGUGGUCUCGAGGUUCACUUUUCAUAGUAUUACGGUUCACCAACACUCGACAUGGAGUGCACUCCACCUCGUUUGAAAAAAUUUAUGUCCCACAAAAAAGAAAUCAUGCAGUGCACUUGUCGGUCUGAUGCAGUGCGGUUCUCAGUCUUAAGCAGUGCGGUUUUCUGACCGAUGUAGUUCACUCAUCGAUUUAGAUGUGUUGCGAAAAACAGAGUGUCCGCAUUUCGCUAAUUUAAAAACUGCUCUUAAACCAUAAGGAAUUACAGAAAGUGUUCUACAUGAAAAAAUUGCGUCUCGUCGAUAUCUUUCCAACGGCAUAUCAUUCGGAUCAUUCAACAAGCGGUUUGUAAAAUUUUUGCGAAAAACAACCACUGCCACUUGUCGUCCGCCGCACCAUUUUCAAAAUUAACUUAAAACCGUAAGGAAUUUCAAAACCAUUUCUACAUAUAAAAGUUGCGCUUUGUCCAUAGCUUUCCAACGACGUAUUACACGCCUCAUUUCAACAAACAGCUCAAAAACUAGAGCGAAAACAGUAUCAAAAAUUGAAAAGAAAUUUUAAAAAAUGUAAUUCCGCGAUUUAGUAAAUUUAAAACUGCUCUUAAAUCAUAACGAAUUAGAGAAAACAAUACAUAUGAAAAAGAUGCGCCUCGACGAUAUAUUUCCAAUGGUGUAUCAUUUGCUUUGUUCCGAUGAACGGUUUAGAAAAAAUCACGAAAAUACGCUCGCUGCCACUCAUCAUCCACCACACCGUUUUCAAAACUGCUCUUAAACUGUGAGGAAUCUCGAAACACGUUCAACAUGUUGAAGUUGCGGCUAAUCCAUAGCUUUCCAACGGUAUAUUAUACGCAUCAUUCCGAUAAACGGUUAAAAAUUAGAGCGAAAAUGGUAUCGAAAAAACACUGCGUGCAGUUUUUUUCGACAUGAAGUUCACUCGCCUGAGUACUGCAGCACACUUGCUUCAAACAAUGACGUGCACUUGCGUUGAGCGUGCAGUGCGGAAGUGUUAUUAGAAUAGUUAUUCUGCUAAUAUUAGCAGAAUAAACUGGCUGUAUAUAUAUAUUUGUGUUCUGUCCUCUACAGCAUUCACUUAUAGCUAUGUCUUCACUCUUGAAUCUUUUGAUCUAAGUGAAUGUGAUCGGACCCUAACCUGUCUAUGCUUCUACCUCAACUCUAUCUGUCCAAAUCAUAUACAUUCUAUUGAAACCUGUCAAUUGUCUUCACUGAGUCCUUGUCAGCUGAUGUCAAUCUGACAAACAUUUAAUCUGUUUUUAAUGCUACAUCAUUAUUGCCUGAAAACCGGAGAAGCCAGAACGACCAUCCGACAAUCUAGGCGCUUAGCUGCCGCGACCUCACCGACGCCGUCCUCACGCCGGCCGCGGACCUUGUCUUCUCCUCCGCCGCCGUAGGUGUCUUUCGUCACCAAGUUAGGGCACGGGAGAUUGAACUGCUCGGCCUCCAACUCCGUUCUGUCUAGCAGUUCUUCGUGUGGUAAUUAAAACUUACUUUUUACUAUCUUUUUGAUCUGGUAGGUUCAUCCUUCUCUACCAAAAGUGGUUUCUAUAAUUCCAAAGUUGAAUCUAUCCUGUUCUACAUCUCAUAUUAUGCCUAGUCUAUUCACUUGUGCUUCACUACAAGUUAGAUUCCUCACUUGUACCUAUUUUUGGAUUCGUACAAAUCUAGAACCAACUCAUAACAAAUAAGUGAAUGUCUUUGCUUAUGAGGUCAAUGUCUUCAAACUGAUUUAUCUUCAAAAUCUUCUGGGAAUGCAUAUGACCUCUUCCCCUUCCCUGGCACCUCUAAUGCUGUCACAGGUACAUGUCCAUGGGAGAAUCCCUUGGUUCUCAUAGUCUGCAUUCAUUUGCAGAAUUCUUACAGAGUCACAUAAAUUCUCCUGAAGCCAGUUCUUGUCUGACCAGCCGUCGGAAGCCUUUGCAAGUUCUGAAGCCAUUCAGUUUAAGCUUCAUGGCAACUGAAAAGUCAGCUAGAAAGGGUGGCAUACAGCGCCGUGGGAAUACAUCCAAAGAUUUGCCAUCAGAUCUGCAUGAAAUGUACAAGACAGACCCUGAAGAAACUUAUGGUGAACGCAAAACUCGAAUCCAAUGGAUUCGAAGAUAUUGGGCUGAAGAGUGGUACAAGUACAAAUUUGUCACGACUGAGUAUGCUAAGAAGAAUGCCAUCAAGCAGCCCUGGGGAGAUAUAUUAUACAAAAAUCUUCAACUGCAGUCCCUGUUUGAAGCUAUUGAUCAAGGCUUCUAUCUGUGCAUGGUUCGCGGAUCACAACCAGAGAAUGCUGACCCAUCUUCUCUGCUAUGGUGUCGAGAAGACAAUCUGUUCAAGCGCAACUUCAAGUUUGCCAAAGAUUCUGCUGUGAAGAACAAGAAGGCAUUUGGACUUGACUUCAACCUCGGUCCAUCUGCUCCUCGGGAUGAUGCCACCCGUGAAGCCAAUGAAAACAGAAUCGGCCCCUUCUACAACCUCAAAGGCCUCAUCACUCACAUUGCAGUCGAAGGUGCUAAUGUGGAUCACUCAGCUGAUGUCGCAGAUUCUGAUGAAGUGCCAGCUCCUCCUAAGCCACAGAAGCAGAAGAAAACUAAGGUUUCAAAACCCUCUGCUGCACCAAAAGCUUCAUGUGUGAAGCCAUUGGCAACUGCCCCUCCUGCAUCAAGUAUGCAAUCUGAAGACCUAUCUCGCAUCUCCAAGAAGACCGAGAAGUCUAGGCAAAAGAAGAAGCCCAUCCUGAGUUCUGGCCAAGCACUGACCCCAGCUGCCAUUCUGAGGAACAAGAAUGAAGCCAUUGAUCUGUCAAGUGACGAUGAUCUUGGUGAAGAUGCUUUGAGCUGCUGAUAAAGAGCAAACAAGAGGCGAAAAUCUUCAACGAUUUCCCCCUCUUUGAUGUGUACAUCCUCAACAACUUCAUUGAUGAGUGGUUUGCCAAUCCGGAUCUCAGCAUAAAUGAUCUUCAACUUCCCAUUGGCAUCAGUGUCGCUUUCCACAGUGCCAUUGCAAAUGAGCUAGCUCUGGCUCAGAAGAUAGUCGAGCUCAAGAACAAGAUUAACUAUGGAAAGGCUCGGUUCAAGAAGCACAUGGACAAGCUCAAUGUCACUGAUGUUCAGAAUUUCAAGAAGUUGCUGCAUGAUCUCAAGGAAGCGUUUCACAAGAAACGUGAAGAGGCAAAAGGUUCAAGAGAGCGGAUGAAACAUCUCGCUGCAAAAUGUGUUCAGGCUCAUAAUGAAGCUAAAAAGCGCAAGGCCUUGGGCAUCCAAGCAUCGACCCCAAGAUGGCUGCCAAAAGGAAGAAGCCUACUAUGACUCAAGCUAAGGCAUCAAGAAUAGAAGCACCUCGCAUUGUCUUCCCUGCCAGCAUGACAGGCUCGAAGCCUAAGGUCCCCACAGUGGCUUCAGAACUGAAGAAGACAAGGGCAGCUGAGGCCGAAGCCACAAAACUCAAGAACAAGAAUGCCUCUGAUGAUGCUCCACUAACCAAGAAGCGGAAGACAAAGUCUUUGAAGAAGAAUCAGGCUGCUCCUUCGGAGCCCCUUCUUGUCGAGCCCCUAUCAGUUGCUCGUCCUGCGUCCCCCCACCAAGAGCGUCAGUUUGUUGUUCACGAGCCUGCUUCCACAGAGGCUCCUGAACCUGAAGAAGUUCCAGCUGUUGACCCCACCGCAGCUGAAGACAUUGGUCCCCAAGACAAUGUAGUAGAUGAUGAAGUUCUUCCUCAGAUCGAGCACCAUAUGGUAUCAUCGCCUGUUCUCACGAACAGUGAAAUCAUCAGCAUUGGUCGUCCCUUGACGCCAAUUGCUUAGGAUGCAUCAUGGGGUGAUCGCCCCCAACCAGAAACUCCAAGUCGAAGCUCACCAAGUACUCCCCCACCUUGAUACGUCUCCAACGUAUCUAUAAUUUUUGAUUGUUCCAUGCUAUUAUAUUACCCGUUUUGGAUGUUUAUGGGCUUUACUUUACACUUUUAUAUCAUUUUUGGGACUAACCUACUAACCGGAGGCCCGACCCGUAUUGUUGUUUUUUUUUGCCUAUUUCAGUGUUUCGAAGAAAAGGAACAUCAAACGGAGUCCAAACGGAAUGAAACCUUCGGGAGCGAUCUUUUUGGAACAAACCUGAUCCAGAGUACUUGGAGUGCAAGUCAAGAAGCAAUCGAGGAGGCCACAAGAGUGGAGGGCGCGCCCCCUAUCUUGUGGGCCCCUCGGGCAUCCACCGACCUACUUCUUCCUCCUAUAUAUACCCACGUACCCUGAGAACAUCAGGGGCGACCAUGAAAAACUAUUUCCACCACCGUAACCUUCUGUAUCCGCGAGAUCCAUAGAAGUUUAUGGAUCUUUUUCUUCGCCCACUAUUUCCAUCCUUUUCUUCGCCCUCCUUCCGUUCGAUCUUGUGUUACCAUGUACCUUCUUUUUGCUUGCAUCUUCGCUUGCUAAAAGUUUAUGGAUCCUCAUCCACUUGCUAAUCUCUUUAAGAGAUCCAAUUAUGAUGAACCUAUUGCUAGUGAGUUGAGUGCACUAGAUUAUCUUUAUGAGGUUUUGCUUGAAAUAUGUGAAUCUGAAAAUUGUGAUGAAGUACUUUAUGAAGCAAUUCACGAUAGAUCUUUGAAUAAUAAGCAUGAUUGCAAUGAUUUUAUUAUAAAUUCUAUUGAUGGCAACUGUGCUAAUAAUAUGUAAAACCCUAAGCUUGGGGAUACUAGUUUUGCUAUGUCUACUACUUGUUGCAAUGAUCAUGAUUGGGGUGAUUCUUCUUAUGAUCUUGAAAAUUUAUUUAAGCCCCAUGAUGAAUAUGAGAUUGAUAAUAGUGUUUGAAAUAAUAUUGAAAGUGGGUUUGGAAGAGUGUCAACUUUAGAUCCCACAUAUUUGGAUAAUGUUCAAUCUUAUGGUAUUUUUGAUAAAACUGGGUUUGGAGAGGUCAUGACUUUAGUUAAUGAUAAUCCCACUAUUUUGGAAGAGUGUCAACUUUGCAUGCAUGUGGAUCAUGUGGAAAAUAUUUUAUGUGAUAGCUAUUUUGUUGAAUUUUCUUAUGAUCCCACAUGUAAUUCUUAUGAGAGAGGAAAAUAUGAUUGUAGAAAUUUUCAUGUUACAAAAUUUCCUCUCGUUAUGUUGAGAUUGCUAUCGUCUCUUUCUUCUUCCUUGCAUAUGCUAGUUUUUGCUUGCUUUGCAAAUUUGUUUGCUUAUAAUAUGACUAUGCAUAGGAAGUAUGUUAGACUUAAACAUGUUUGUCACGUGUUUCAUGAUGCUCUCUUUGCGCUUCAAUUCUUGUGUUUCAUGUGAGCAUCAUUAAAAUUAUCAAUGCCUAGCUAGGGGCUUUAAACGAUACGCUAGUUGGGAGGCAACCUAAUUUUAUUUUAAUUUUUUGUUUUUUGCUUCUGUUUAGUAAUAUGUUUUUCAUCUACCUUCUGUUUAGAUGUGUUUUAAUGUUUUAAUUAGUGUUUGUGCCAAGUAGAACCUAUAGGAUAACCUAUGGUGAUAGUUAAUUUGAUUCUGCUGAAAAAUAGAAACUUUGCGCGCACGAAAAUAAUUUUAGUAAUUCACAUAAAUGUGGUUUUGCGUUGAUUCUUUUUUCUGUAGAUCAAUAGACAAAUUUCCCAGGACUUCAUAUUUUGGUAGGAUUUUUAGAGUUCCAGAAGUAUUCGAGGGUUACAGAUUGCUACAGACUGUUCUGUUUUUGACAGAUUCUGUUUUUUCGCUUGUUGUUUGCUUAUUUUGAUGCAUCUAUGGCUAGUAUUAAGUGGUAUGAACCAUAGAGAACUUGAAAUACAAUAGGUUUAACACAAAUAUAAAUGAAGAAUAAGUUCAUUACAGUACCUUAUGUGAUGGUUUUUCUUUCUUUCACUAAUGAAGCUUAUGAGAUUUCCUGUUGAGUUUUGUGUUGUGAAGUUUUCAAGUUUUGGGUAAAGAUUUGAUGGACUAUGGAAUAAGGAGUGGCAAGAGCCUAAGCUUGGGGAUGCCCAUGGCACCCCAAGAUAUUCAAGAAUAGCCAAAAGCCUAAGCUUGGGAUGCCCUGGAAGGCAUCCCCUCUUUCGUCUUCGUUUAUCGGUAACUUGACUUGGAGCUAUAUUUUUAUUCGCCACAUGAUAUGUGUUUUGCUUGGAGCGUCUUGUAUGAUAUUAGUCUUUUCUUUUUAGUUUUCGACAAUCAUCCUUGCUGUACACACCUUUUUGUAGAAACCUACUUUAGUGGAAUUUAUUAUAAUACUCUAUGUGCUUCACUUAUAUCUUUUGAGCUAGGUAGUUUUUGCUCUAGUACUUCACUUAUAUCUUUUAGAGCAUGGCGGUGGCUUAAUUUUUAAGAAAUUGUUGAUCUCUCAUGCUUCACUUAUAUUAUUUUGAGAGUAUUUUAGAACAGCAUGGUAUUUUCUAUGGUUAUAAAGUUGGUCCAAGUUGGGUAUAAUAAAAACUAUCAUAGAAAGUGCAUUAAACACUAGGAUCAAAUUGAUGCUUGAUCAUUGUUUUGAGAUAUAAAGGUGGUAAUGUUAGAGUCAUGCUACCGGGUAAUUAUGAAAUUGAGAAAUACUUGUGUUGAAGUUGGAAUGUCUCGUAGCAUGCACGUAUGGUAAAAGUUGUGUGACAAAUUUGUUGCAUGAGGUGCUUUUUUGAUUGUCUUCCUUAUGAGUGGAAGUCGGGGACGAGCGAUGGUCUUUUCCUACCAAUCUAUCCCUCUAGGGGCAUGCAUAGUAGUACUUUCCUUCGAAGGCAAGUAGACUUUUGCAAUAAGUAUAUGAGUUCUCUAUGACUAAUGUGAGUCCAUGGAUAUACGCACACUCACCUUCCACUUUGCUAGCCUCUAUUGUGCCGCGCAACUUUCGCCGGUAUCAUGCACCCAUUAUUUACCUUCCUAAAAACAGCCACCAUACCUACCUAUUAUGGCAUUUCCAUAGACAUUCCGAGAUAUAUUGCCAUGCAACUUUCCACCGUUCCGUUAUUAUGGCACGCUCCAUCAUUGUCAUAUUGCUCCAUGCAUGAUCAUGUAGUUGACAUUGUAUUUGUGGCAAGGCCACCCACAUAAUUUUCAUACAUGUCACUCUUGAUUCAUUGCAUAUUCCAGUAUACCACCGGAGGCAUUCAUAUAGAAUCAUAUUUUGUUCUAAGUGUUGAGUUGUAAUUCUCGAGUUGUAAAUUAAUAAAAGUGCGACGAUCUUCAUUAUUAGAGCACUGUCCCAAGUGAGAAAAGGAUGAUGAAGACUAUGAUUCCCCCACAAGUCGGGAUGAGACUUCGGACUUUAAAAAAAAGGAGGCCAAAGAGCCCACCAAAUAUUAAAAAAAGAAAUGCCAAAUAAGAAAAGAGAAAGGCCAAAUAAAAAAUGAGAGAAAAAGAGAGAAGGGACAAUGCUACUAUCUCUUUUCCACACUUGUGCUUCAAAAUAGCACCAUGAUCUUCAUGAUAGAGAGUCUCUUGUGUUGUCACUUUCAUAUACUAGUGGGAAUUUUUCAUUAUAGAACUUGGCUUGUAUAUUCCAAUGAUGGGCUUCCUCAAAAUGCCCUAGGUCUUCGUGAGCAAGCAAGUUGGAUGCACACCCACUUGGUUUCUUUUGUUGAGCUUUCAUACAUUUAUAGCUCUAGUGCAUCCGUUGCAUGGCAAUCCCUACUCACUCACAUUGAUAUCUAUUGAUGGGCAUCUCCAUAGCUCGUUGAUAUGCCUAGUUGAUGCGAGACUAUCUUCUCCCUUUUUGUCCUCACAACCACCACCUUAUACCACCAUAGUGCUAUGUCCAUGGCUUGCGCUCAUGUAUUGCGUAAGAGUUGAAAAAGCUGAAGCGCGUUAAAAAGUAUGAACCAAUUGCUCGACUCGUCAUCGGGGUUGUGCAUGAUGAGAGUAUUUUGUGUAAUGAAAAUGAAGCAUGGCCUAACUAUAUGAUUUUGUAGGGAUAAGCUUUCUUUGGCCAUGCUAUUUUGAUAGGACAUGAUUAUUUGUUAGUAUGCUUCGAGUAUUACUAUUUUUUAUGUUUUAUAAGCUUUUAUCUUGAAUCAUUUGGAUCUGAACAAUCAUGCCACAAUAAAGAAAAUUACAUUGAGAAUUAUGCUAGGUAGCAUUCCACAUCAAAAAUUAUAUUUUUAUCAUCUACCUACUCGAGGACGAGCAGGAAUUAAGCUUGGGGAUGCUUGAUAUGUCUCCAACGUAUCUAUAAUUUUUGAUUGUUCCAUGCUAUUAUAUUACCCGUUUUGGAUGUUUAUGGGCUUUACUUUACACUUUUAUAUCAUUUUUGGGACUAACCUACUAACCGGAGGCCCAGCUCGUAUUGCUAUUUUUUGCCUAUUUCAGUGUUUCGAAGAAAAGGAAUAUCAAACGAAGUCCAAACGGAAUGAAACCUUCGGGAGCAAUCUUUUUGGAACAAACGUGAUCCAGAGGACUUGGAGUGCAAGUCAAUAAGCAAUCGAGGAGGCCACGAGGGUGGAGGGCGCGCCCCCUAUCUUGUGGGCCCCUCGGGCAUCCACCGACCUACUUCUUCCUCCUAUAUAUACCCACGUACCCCGAGAACAUCAGGGGCGACCACGAAAAACUAUUUCCACUACCGUAACCUUCUGUAUCCACGAGAUCCAUCUUGGAGCCUUUGUCGGCGCUCUGCCGGAGGGGGAAUCAACCAUGGAGGGCUUCUACAUCAACACCAUAGCCUCUCCGAUGAGUUGUGAGUAGUUUACCACAGACCUUCGGGUCCAUAGUUAUUAGCUAGAUGGCUUCUUCUCUCUCUUUGGAUCUCAAUACCAUGUUCUCCUUGAUCUUCUUGGAGAUCUAUUCGAUGUAACUCUUUGUGCGGUGUGUUUGUCGAGAUCCGAUGAAUUGUGGGUUUAUGAUCAAGUUUAUCUAUGAGAAAUAUUUGAAUCUCCUCUGAAUUCUUUUAUGUGUGAUUAAGUUAUCUUUGCAAGUCUCUUCAAAUUAUCAGUUUGGUUUGGCCUACUAGAUUGAUCUUUCUUGCAAUGGGAGAAGUUCUUAGCUUUGGGUUCAAUCUUGCGGUGUCCUUUCCUAGUGACAGCAAGGGCAUCAAGGCACGUAUUGCAUUGUUGCCAUCGAGGAUAAAAAGAUGGGGUUUAUAUCAUAUUGCAUGAGUUUAUCCCUCUACAUCAUGUCAUCUUUCUUAACGCGUUACUCUGUUCUUUAUGAACUUAAUACUCUAGAUGCAUGCAGGAUAGCGGUCGAUGUGUGGAGUAAUAGUACUAGAUGCAAGCAGGAGUCGGUCUACUUGUCACAGACGUGAUGCCUAUAUACAUGAUCAUGCCUAGAUAAUCUCAUAAUUAUUCGCUUUUCUAUCAAUUGCUCGACAGUAAUUUGUUCACCCACCGUAAUACUUAUGCUAUCUUGAGAGAAGCCACUAGUGAAACCUAUGGCCCCCGGGUCUAUCUUUUAUCAUAUAAGCUUUCAAUCUACUUUUAUUUGCAUCUUUACUUUUCCAAUCUAUAUUAUAAAAUACCAAAAAUAUAUUUAUCUUAUCAUAUUAUCCCUAUCAGAUCUCACUUUCGCAAGUGGUCGUGAAGGGAUUGACAACCCCUUUAUUGUGUUGGUUGUGAGUUCUUGUUUGUUUGUGUAGGUGCGUGGGACUUUUGAGGAGCCUCCUACUGGAUUGAUACCUUGGUUCUCAAAAACUGAGGGAAAUACUUACGCUACUAUUGCUGCAUCACCCUUUCCUCUUCAAGGAAAACCAAUGCAAGCUCAAGACGUAGCAAGAAGGAUUUCUGGCGCCGUUGUCGGGGAGGUCUUCGCUCAAGUCAAGACAUACCAAGUACCCAUCAUAAACUCAUAUCCCUCGCAUUUACAUUAUUUGCCAUUUGCCUCUCGUUUUCCUCUCCCCCACUUCACCCUUGCCGUUUUAUUCGCCCUUUCUUUCCCAAUCUCCUCUCUCUUUCGUUUGCCUCUUUUUGUUUGCUCGUGUGUUAGAUCGUUUACCUUGUUGUAAUGGCUAGUCCUCCUAUCCUUGUUAUUACUCCCGAACAUGAAAUUCUUAAUUUUAAGCAAAGGGAGGGAGGAAAUUUAAAAGAUGCUUGGCAUAAAAUUUUCAAUGCUCAAAAUAAAUCUACUAGGAAGCUUUCUACUUCCGUUUACCACACUUGUGCUACUAUCCUCUUUACCACACUUGUGCUUCAAAGUAGCACCAUGAUCUUCAUGAUAGAGAGUCUCCUAUGUUGUCACUUUCAUAUACUAGUGGGAAUUUUCAUUAUAGAACUUGGCUUGUAUAUUCCAAUGAUGGGCUUCCUCAAAGUGCCCUAGGUCUUCGUGAGCAAGCGAGGAUGCACACCCACUUAGUUUCUUUUAUUGAGCUUUCAUACAUUUAUAGUUCUAGUGCAUCCGUUGCAUGGCAAUCCCUACUCGCUCACACUGAUAUCUAUUAAUGGGCAUCUCCAUAGCCCGUUGAUAUGCCUAGUUGAUGUGAGACUAUCUUCUCCUUUUUGUCUUCUCCACAACCACCAUUCUAUUCCACAUAUAGUGCUAUGUCCAUGGCUCACGCUCAUGUAUUGCGUGCAAGUUGAAAAAGUUUAAGAUUACUAAAGUAUGAAACAAUUGCUUGGCUUGUCAUCGGGGUUGUGCAUGAUUAAAUACUUUGUGUGAUGAAGCUAGAGCAACAGCCAGACCAUAUGAUUUUGUAGGGAUAACUUUCAUUGGCCAUGUUAUUUUGAGAAGACAUGAUUGCUUGAUUUAGUAUGCUUGAAGUAUUACUAUUUCUUAUGUCAAUAUGAACUUUUCUUUUGAAUCAUUUGGAUCUGAAAAUUCAUGCCACAAUAAAGAAAAUUACAUUGAGAAUUAUGCUAGGUAGCAUUCCACAUCAAAAAUUCUAUUUUUAUCAUUUACCUACUUGAGGACGAGCAGGAAUUAAGCUUGGGGAUGCUUGAUACGUCUCCAACGUAUCUAUAAUUUUUUAUGGUUCCAUGCUAUUAUAUUACCCGUUUUGGAUGUUUAUGGGCUUUACUUUACACAUUUAUAUUAUUUUUGGGACUAACCUACUAACCGGAGGCCCAGCCCGUAUUGCUGUUUUUUUUGCCUAUUUCAGUGUUUCGAAGAAAAGGAAUAUCAAACGGAGUCCAAACGGAAUGAAACCUUCGGGAGCGUGAUUUUUGGAACAAACGUGAUCCAGAGGACUUGGAGUGCAAGUCAAGAAGCAAUCGAGGCGGCCAUGAGGGUGGAUGGCGCGCCCACCCCUACAGGGGGCGCCCCCUAUCUCGUGGGCCCCUCGGGCGGCCACCGACCUACUUCUUCCUCCUAUAUAUAUACCCACAUACCCCGAGAACAUCAAAGGCGACCACGAAAAACUAUUUCUACCACCGUAACCUUCUGUAUCCACGAGAUCCCAUGUUGGAGCCUUCGCCAACGCUCCAUCAGAGGGGGAAUCGACCAUGGAGGGCUUCGACAUCAACACCAUAACCCCUCCGAUGAGUUGUGAGUAGUUUACCAUAGACCUUCGGGUCCAUAGUUAUUAGCUAGAUGGCUUCUUCUCUCUUUUUGGAUCUCAAUACCAUGUUCUCCUUGAUCUUCUUGGAGAUCUAUUCGAUGUAACUCUUUUUGCGGUGUGUUUGUCGAGAUCCGAUGAAUUGUGGGUUUAUGAUCAAGUUUAUCUAUGAGAAAUAUUUGAAUCUCCUCUGAAUUCUUUUAUGUGUGAUUAAGUUAUCUUUGCAAGUCUGUCCAAAUUAUCAGUUUGGUUUGGCCUACAAGAUUGAUCUUUCUUGCAAUGGGAGAAGUGCUUAGCUUUGGGUUCAAUCUUGCGGUGUCCUUUCCCAGUGACAGCAGGGGCAGCAAGGCACAUAUUGUAUUGUUGCCAUCGAGGAUAAAAAGAUGGGGUUUAUAUCAUAUUGCAUGAGUUUAUCCCUCUACAUCAUGUCAUCUUUCUUAAUGCAUUACUCUGUUCUUUAUGAACUUAAUACUCUAGAUGCAUGCUGGAUAGCGGUCGAUGUGUCGAGUAAUAGUAGUAAAUGCAGGCAGGAGUCGGUCUACUUGUCACGGACAUGAUGCCUAUAUACAUGAUCAUGCCUAGAUAAUCUCAUAAUUAUUCGCUUUUCUAUCAAUUGCUCGACAGUAAUUUGUUCACCCACCGUAAUACUUAUGCUAUCUUGAGAGAAGCCACUAGUGAAGCCUAUGGCCCCCGGGUCUAUCUCUUAUCAUAUAAGCUUUCAAUCUACUUUUAUUUGCAUUUUUACUUUUCCAAUCUAUAUCAUAAAAUACCAAAAAUAUAUUUAUCUUAUCGUAUUAUAUCUAUCAGAUCUCACUUUCGCAAGUGGCCGUGAAGGGAUUGACAACCCCUUUAUUGCGUUGGUUGCGAGUUCUUUGUUUGUUUGUGUAGGUGCGUGGGACUUUUGAGGAGCCUCCUACUAGAUUGAUACCUUGGUUCUCAAAAAAUGAGGGAAAUACUUACGCUACUAUUGCUGCAUCACCCUUUCCUCUUCAAGGAAAACCAAUGCAAGCUCAAGACUAGCAACCGACAAGGAAAAUUGGAAUGAAGAGCUUCUGUUACAAUUCUAUGCUACACUUCACAUCCGCGGCUACAACAAGGACAUCAAAACUUGGGUCCUUGAGUGGAUGACAGGCAAUGUGCACCAUGAAGCCAAAGCUCUUGAUCUCAUUGAGCUUACUGGCCUGCCCACUCUAGGUGAACUAUAUGAACCUGGUUGUCAGCUUCACCGCAAUGCCUUGGAAAGCAUAUUCCAGAAGCCUGAGCCCAACAUGAGCCAAAUGCUGAGUAUGAUGAAGCCUCUGCCACAAGAUGCUGAAUAUCCUAAGGAAUUCUUUGUUGAAGACCUAGAGUAUCUGCCCCGCACCAUCUAUCACAUUAUCAGGCGAACUCUAUGGCCCAUCAAAGGACAUUCUUCUUCAGCAAAGCUUGAAGGCUCAAUGAAGACAUUGGUCAUCUAUAUUCUCAAUGGCAUCAGCUUCAAUGCUCAGGAUUUCUUCAUUCGCCAACUUGCUGCAUCUGGCUCACAUAUAUUUGGUCUGAAGUUCUAUACUCCAUGGGUAAUGCGUCUGAUCAAGCUUCACUUUGUUGUUAACUAUCAGCCCUCUGCGCGCAACCAUCUCAUAUUCUUGCCAGAGGUUGAUAAUGUCUAUUGAAGCCAUAUACCCAAAACCUGCCAAGGAGGCAAUUUAUUUUCACAAUGUCGAUCGUCAAAGUUUCUCUCAACAUGUUGAAGGAGUUCAUGCUACCACUCGUGUUUAUCCUUUGGCUGGAAAUACUCGUGCACCUCGUCGUGCCCAUACUGAAGCCACUGAAAGCACUAUUGCUCCAAGGCCUCGGAAGAGAUCUCGUGUGCUCAAUGACUGAGAGCUUCUUGUGGCCUUGCAUUAGAAACAUGAUAAGCAUCAUUACUGGCUGAAGCGUCAGAUGCAGAGUCUCUUGAUGGAUGUUAAUCGCAUUCGCAAUCUCCCACCAAGAAUGCAUUUGUCACUCAUGAAACCUGUCGGCAUUCGUGGAAGAGUCUGACACUCCUCAGUUCUGAAGAUGAUCUUCAGCAAGAUGGCUUCACAGAGAGAUUCAAGUUUGAUUCCACUCCUCCCAGGAAUGUUGUCUUACGUCGGACUCCUUCACUCGAAGACUCUGAGUACUCCUCUUCGGCAGCAACUGUCAAUGCCAGAGUCAUCGAUGAUGAAGAUGAUGCUACAUCACCAACAACCACUUCAGCGCGUAUCAACACUGCACCAGGCCCGUCUGCACCACCAAACUCCAACAUCGACCCUGCUCCUUCUGGGAAUGAGUAGACACUCUAUGUCUUCAAACCUUUUUGGUAAUUACUGACAAAAGGGGGAGAAGCAUAUGAGUUGAUAGUCUUCAAGCGGGUCCUUAUGAGUGGUUGCAUUAUUUUGCCAAGUCUUACAACUCUCGUUUUUUUGAUACAUUUUGUUCUUUGAGUUGUAAAUUUGAUGGUCAACUACUACUUUAUUUGUUAUUCUGUGAUGCGAUGAUAAAUCCCGCAUGAAGUCAUUCUGCAGACGUCCAUUUGUCAUUAUGCAUAUCAUUAUCUUUGUUACUUCUUAUAUUCAUAAUGCAUUGUCUUCACACUUUGAUGAUGGCCUCCACAAAGCAAAACCUGCUAUGUGCAUUUGCAUUCAAACACAAAUCAUUUAUAUGCACAUCUUUAGGGGGGAGCCUCGCCUUAUGUAUGAAGACAAUACUCACAACAUUAAACUUUCACAUACUUUUAUCCCUGUUGAAAACUUCAACCAGUUUGUCAUCAAUCACCAAAAAGGGGGAGAUUGUAAGUGCAUCUAGUGCCACCCCUAGUUGGUUUUGGAGUAUUGACGACAAACUUGGUUGAGGGACUAAUGUGUUUGUGAGAAUUGCAGGAUAACACAGGUAGUAGUCCCAUAUUGAUUCGGUUUACCUACCAGAGAUGACCCCUAAAAAUGUGUGAAGACAUUGAAGACAAUGGUGGUCUGUGAAGACAUUCACAUUGAAGGCUAUGACAUGAGAAGACAUCGAGUGAAGAUUAUGGAGUACGAAGACAUAGUUGUUCCGUAGUUUCCUUUUCUUCUUUGUUGAGUCAUAGGAACCACCGUACUAUUAAGUGGGGUCCAAGUGAACAAAGUCAGAGUGACUGAUGUGAUGCUCAACCAAAUCCUAUGUCUUCGAGUGAAGACAAUGAGAGCAAAUCUUAUCCAGAGCUGGAUGAGUCAGCUUUACUUGUGGAGGAGCUGACCAUGGAUUUUGUGGAGGGGCUGCCGAAGUCUGAAGGCGCCAACGCAAUCAUGGCCGUAGUCGAUCGGCUGACCAAGUACGCGCACUUCAUGUCGCUUCGUCAUCCCUUCACCGCCGUUCAGGUCGCGCGCGCCUUCUGGGAGCACAUCAUCAAGCUCCAUGGCGUUCCCCAUUCGAUCGUCUCCGACCGCGACAAGAUCUUCACGAGCGCGAUGUGGCGCGAAUUGCUCGUCGCCGCGGGAACCAAGCUACUCUACUCCACCGCGUACCACCCCCAGACGGAUGGCCAAACCGAGUGCGGCAAUCAGUGCUUGGAGAUGUACCUGCGGUGUGCAGUCCACGACACGCCACGGCAAUGGCGCAAGUGGCUACCGGCGGCGGAGUUCUGGUACAAUUCAGCGCAUCAUGCCUCCCUGAAUUGCUCUCCCUUCAAGGCGUUGUAGGGCAGAGAGCCCAAUCUGGGGGGAUUACCUCACCUGAGCACCGCGCUCCCUGGCGACGCGACGUCCGGCGAUCCGGACUAGGCUGCCCACACUAACCUGCUGCGUGCAUAGCUGGCCCGCGCCCAAGCUCGCUUCAAGAAACAAGCAGAUCGACACCGAGCGGAACGAGCUUUCGACGUUGGCGAACAGGUCCUUCUCAAGCUGCAGCCGUAUGCACAAUCCUCUAUCGCCAAUCGCCCAUGCAAGAAACUCGCCUACAAGUUCUUCGGUCCAUUCUUGGUGACAGAACGCAUCGGCACGCUGGCAUAUCGACUGCAACUUCCCCCAAACAGCAGCAUCCACCUGGUAUUCCAUGUCUCUCAAUUGAAGCCGUUUACUCCUGACUAUACUCCGGUGUUCUCUGAACUGCCACGAGUACCGGACCUCGCCGGAGAGCAAACCGAACCAGUGGCAAUCCUACAGCGGCGUAUGAUGAAGAAAGGAGAUGCUCCAGUGGUGCAGCUGCAAGUUCAGUGGGCAAACAUGCCAUCAUCGGCUACAAACUGGGAAGACUACGACGUCCUUCGUCAUCGGUACCCAUCAGGAAGCAUCUGGGAAGAGUCUGCAUCGCAAGAGGGAGGCAAUGUCACGCCUGCAGAUGCUGCUACUGCACCUGCAGCGGACUAACAAGUGCAGUUAAGUUAUCUGAACCUGCAACCCACGGUUGGGCUGGUUCGAGUGCGUGUGUGGGUUGUGAUUGGGCUGUGACCUUGUAAGGGUGGCCCAGUGGGGCAGCUACAUAUAUACGACUCUCAGGACGAAAGAAGCAGCGAGUGAUUGAUCGAGUCUUUCUUUCCCCUUCUCCACGCCUCUCACCUACUCUGCUUUCUCCUUCCUCACCCCAAUUCUAGAUCGAGAUCCGCCUGGGCAUUACACUUUAGUGUGCUUAUAAAAUCUAGUAUCGCAGAGAAAUAGUGUUGUUAGACAAGUAGAGAAGUAGCAUUAAGAAACAAGCUACCCUUCUCAAGCCUUUACAUCUUAAAAUUCGACCAAGUCGAGCCUACAUCGAACUGCUUUCUCCAGGCUGUAAAAAUAGAAAGUCCAUGGUUAAUUGUAUCAUUCAUUGGGCAUAAUAGUUGUAUCUGUAACUAGAUUUACGAUGAAGAUGUUCUUUCUACAAAAGAAACUAUAGUCUUCCUGGUGUAUAUUCAUUAGCAAGUCCAUUAUCAACAAACAUAGUUGUUACAGACUGGAUAAAUUGCUGAGGAAGGGAAAAACAAGGGUAAAUGGAAAUUUAUAACUUACUCCCUCUAUUCCUAAAUAUAGUCUUUGUAGAGAUUCCACUAGGUGGACUACAUACGGAGCAAAAUGAAUGAAUCUAAACUUAGAAUGCAUCUAUAUACAUCCGUAUGCGGUUUAUAGUGGAAUCUCUACAAAGACUUACAUUUAGGAACGGAGGGAGUAUUUAUUAUGUAAUUAGUGCACUCACCUUUGUAAAAACAAUGGGCAACUCCUUGCUCUCUGCAAGAUCGUUGAAAUGAUUGAUGUCGCUAACUUUGAUACUUUCAGUCACAAUUCCAUUCCACGCACUAACCAUGUCUUUGCACAGCAUGUCUCCCGACUCUCUUUCCUUUGAUAUCCUUUUUACUCUUAUUUCCUGUGUGGACCGUGGUGGUAGGAUUCCUACCGGUGUAUUUGCAGUGUAGCUCGCCGAAUUGCCAUGGUGGGCCAAUAUAUGGAAACCCACACAAUAAUCUGUAACAUUGACUAUUUUAAGUAAGCACACCAUGGGUGCCUUCUUGUUUGGAAAGAAGGGGUAGCGUAGUUGGGGAGGAUCAAACUGGAUUAACUCGUCUGAGGUGCAUAAGUUUGUCUGCGAGAAAAAGGGAAAAUAAUGCUGCUGUGGAUUAAUUGGUACCAGAGAAACACCAGUGUCGAUGAAGUAAACUGACCACCACUGAUCAACUUUCUACCAUGUAAUGUCUCUACAAAUACACUUCGAAACUUUGCAACGUGUUAUGGUACGAUUGGCCCGUUAGCCAGCCAUACGGUUGGCACCACAUCAGUGAAAUGAGAUUGCCAUGCCAUUUCAGACUAGCUGACUGAUGGGCUCAGAGCUAGCUGAUGAUGCUCAAUUUAAAAAACAAAAAAUAUGUUAAUUUGAACUAUUGCAAUAAGUCUUAUUCUUUAGGAUUGGGAAGAAACAACAAGUUGAAAUGAGAGUGAGUAGCAGGACAAGGUAGCAACGCUAAGAAUAUGAUCCAAAAAAAGAUGUUCGGCCACGAGUUCUCAGUAAGUUUUAAAGGUAUGGACUAUGGAGUUCCAAAGGAUCAUCAUCACAUGAUAAUUCCAUUGUCAAGGAGACGUGGUGAUUCAAGAGCUGAGAAUAAUUAUUGGAAUGUAAUGUCUUAAAUCUUCUUUUAGGCGGUUCAGUGUGGAACAAUUGUAAAUAAAACUUUAAACUUAUAUAUGCAUCACAUAAUAAGGGAACUUACCAUGUGAAGAACAAUGCGCAAUUCCUUACUAAAAGUGGUCAAAUCCCCAUCCAUGUCACCAAUGAUGUCACUUGGUUCAGCAUCUUCGCUCACAAUCCUGUUACACAAAAACAACUUGUCUUGGCACUGCAUGUCUCCUAGUUCCUUUUCCUUUGCUGUCCUUUUUAGAACAAGUCUUUGAGUGGUCUUUGGUGGCAUAAUCCUUUCAGACGGUUUUACAUACCAGGCCACUUUGCUGUUUGGCAAACCUGUACUAAAAGCCACGUAGUAAUCUGUACUGUUGACUACAUUAACUGAGAACACGCACACCUUGUUUGGCAGGACGUGGAAGUUGAGCUCAGGCGGGUCAAAUUGGAUCAGCUCAUUUGAGGCACAUGGACUACUUUCCUGCCAAAAUGAAAACAUCGGCUCAUUAAUUUGGUCCGUGAAAAUCAUCAUCAGUUCAUGUUUACUGAUUUUUAUCACAGAUCAAAGCGGGGUGCUCACAGUUAGCAAAGAUGUACUGUUACAUGACCCGACCACAAUUAUCACACAAACAUGGAGUACUCUGAUUAUUUGAGUAAAUGAUGGUUCGGCCAUCCUGUGGUAAGUCACUAGUAAUAAGGGAAUAUUUUUGCUCUUGCACUAACCGAGGAUGUAAAAACUGUAAAAUGCCACUUUGGGGGUUGGUUAGGGGCGUUACUCUUCCACUUAAGUAGGAUAUGUUAGAGUACUAUAUAUAGCCAUGCAGCCUUUUGUAUUUACCUCAUUGUAUAAGGGUUUUUCUGCAUAUUUCAUGCACCUGUACUUGUAUAUAUACUGGCCUAUGGCCUAAUGGAAAUACAAGUUGCAUAUUUCCUAACAUGGUAUUAGAGCUCAGGUCUUUUAAGCAUGCGCAACUCGUGCUUGAUCCUCUAUUCACGUCGUCGGCGUCUCGUUACCAGCCAUCGCUGCUCUCUCUACCCCGCCCCGUCUCAUCACUGCUUCGACUGCUAUUGUCCAUGCCCUCUUCGCUACUUUCUUGGGAUCGAGGUCCCUUCUACCUUUGAGGGCUUUUUUAUUUCCCGGGAAAAGUAUAUCCAGAAUUUUCUUGCUCGUCAGCACUUACUGAUGACCGCACCAUUGAGACUCCCAUGGAGCUCAAUGUUCACCUCUGUGAUACUGAUGGUGACCCUUGUCUGAUCUGAGCGUAAUCGUCAUCUUGUUGGGAGUCUUGUCUAUCUGGCUAUCACUCGUCCGGAUAUCUCUUAUCCAAUCCAUAUUCUGAGUCAAUUUGUCUCUGCUCCCACUUUGGUUCACUACAGUCACCUCCUUGGUGUUCUCUGAUAUCUUCGUGACACGAUCUCUCACCGUGUGUUCUUUCCUCACUCUAGUUCAUUAUAGCUUCAGGCCUAUUCAGAUGCUAUAUGGCCUAACAAUCCCUCGGAUGGUCGUUCACUUUCUGCUUACUUGUGUUUUUCUUGGUGGUUCUCUCAUUGCUUGGAAGACAAAGAAACAGACUGCAGUUUCCCGUUUGUUGUUACGGUGGUUGCUCCAGGACAUUGGUGUUGCUGUCACUAAACCUACUGUUCUACUGUUUGACAAUACAUGUGCUAUUAGAAUUGCGCGGGACCACGUGAAGCAUGAACUCACCAAGCAUAUUGGUGUUGAUGCUUUUUAUGUGCACGCUGAUGUGCAUGACCAGGUUAUUGCUCUUCAGUAUGUGCCUUUCGAGUUAUAAUUGACGGAUUUCUUUACCAAGGCCCAGAAUAGAGCACAACAUGGCUUCUAGCUCUCCAAACUCAGUGUUGUUUAUCCACCAUGAGUUUGAGAGGGGGGGUGUUAGAGUACUAUAUAUAUAGCCAUGUAGCAUUUUGUAUUUACCCCAUUGUAUAAGGGGUUUUCUGCAUAUUUCCUACACAUGUACUCGUAUAUAUACUGCCCUAUGGCCUCAUGGGAAUACAAGUUGCAUAUUUUCUAACAGGAUAUAUGUAUAGUGCCACUUUUCCUUGCUGCUAGUACUCACGUCAACCAAUUACUUGUUAAUUUCACAAAAUACCUUUUGUUUGAAAAUUAUCACAAAUCUAUACUUUUAAGAAACUAAUUCAUAUAACCAUAUUUUGUAGCAUGAUCUGAACAGAGACAUCCAUUUCGUUGAUGGAUAGUCUAUUCUGCACUAAAAGUGGUAUAUAUACCAAAGAACUAUUGGGUAGAAGUCUAGUAGAGAAGUAUAGUCUCGUGAUGUUUUUUUAUAAUUCAGCAAGAAACACGAAUACCUUCUAAGCUAAGCAGCCGUCACAUGUAUAUGUAUUAUUUCAUUCAUAUAUAUUUGCAAAUAUACAAUGAUUUUCUAUAAGUAUAAUGUUUUCUGUCAGAUAAAAGAGAUGAUCAUAUUUCAUGAGAAGUGUUCUUUCAUAGUAUAGCAAUUUUAUAUGUUUAAUGUGAAAUAAUCAUGAAAUCUGCAGACAAAUUGGAGACGUGUUAUAAUAGAGUAGUGAGAUAGUAGUGUUGUUGUGUUAGAAACAACUGUAACGGGCACGUGCUUGACCAGGGUACGUAAAUGCAAUGUCUGCGUGUGUACAGCAGCCCUACCGGUUGGGCCCGUCAUACUAAAAGGUGAUUGUAUACAAGGAUUUUAAAUAGGUUCGACCAUCCACACCUGAUCAGUUUAGUCCUAUCAAGGGUGACAUUAGUAGGUAAUGAUCUUACUAGGCUUCCUUUUGGAACCCCUAAUCACUAGGUCAAGUUGGGUCCAACUUUGGGAAUUGGGACCCCUUAACUCUAGGUCAAGGAAGGCUACCAUUUAGGUUGCCCUAGAGCACCCUUGCAAGUUUGCUCUAAACCUCACCUCUUGGAAAAUCUUAUUCCAAAUGAGAGAUGUAUGUAUAGGUGGAAGGAGGUAUCCAAUUAAAUCGCACCUACCCUGAGUGAAUAACCUUCUGGGUUUGGCUUGCCACUCGUGAUCGUUGCUGGAUGGCGGAUCGCCUCGAACGCCUUGGCGUCGAGCACAAACCCACCUGGGUGUUCUGUGAUCAGACGUUGGAGAUGAUGCAGUACCUGCUUGUGGACUGCCUCUUUGCCCAUGAGCUUUGGUUGUGGGUGCUUUCCUGGUUCACGCCACCUACUGUCGCUGGCAAUGGGAUCCCUGCUGCACAACUGGUGGCUGAUCGUUGUGCUUCUGACUUCCUGGCAACUUUGGAAGCACCGCAAUGUGCACCUUUAACAACGUGAUGCCGAAUCUCCCUUUGCUGCGGAUUGCAUCAAGGACGCAGCACAGAAUUGGGAUGAUGCCGGCUUAAGGGGCUUAAGAAUUAUUCUCCCACCCCUGUGGAUGUUGUUUAAUUAGCACAUUCUUUUUUCCUACUACUUUGUACUCUACCCUUUUGUGCAUGAACCUAUUCUCCUACCCUUUCAAUGCAAUGACGCCCAAGAUUUUUGCGCUUUCUCAAAAAAAAAUGAGUUAUGAGUAGUCCAUAAUCCAUAUAGAGGCAACGGGGUUUCUGCAAGUGGCUAUGUAGCAUUAACCUCUUUCUUUGUGGAUUGCAUGAGCUCUAAAUAUGAUUACAAUCACUUGUAUGCAAUGGAUCAUGAGCUUUAGGUAUCCUUUGUAGACGUAGUAAUAGAAAGGGUAAUACAAAUAAAAAACAAUGCAUUGCAUAAUUUAGAAUCUCACCUUGUGAAAAAAAAUGGGCAAUUCUUUACUCUCUUCCUCACUCAUAUAACCAAUGAUGUCUCUAGCUUCGACACCUUCAGUCACAAGACGGCUCCAAAAAAAUAUCUUGUCUUCUAACUCGUACUCCUUGCCUCCUGGUCCCAUUUCCUUCAAUUGCCAUACCAUCGUGCUUUCUCUAGUGGAUCUUGGUGGCAGAAUUCCUUCCAUAAAUGAUUCUUUACGUCUUGCUGCAUUCUUUACCACGCUAUAUACAGUGAAAGCAACAUUGAAAUCUGUAAUGUUGAUUAUAUCAAAUGUGAACGGAAAUAUCUCCUGCGGCGAAAAGGGGAAGUGGAGCUCAGCGGGAUCAAAUUGGAUCAACUCAUUUGAGGUUAAUGAGCUUAUCUGCAAAAUAAAGACAAUUAUGAAGCUAUGUACUGAUCGGACACGGAGAAAUAUGCAAUGAGAAAACUUCUUUCUCAGUUCGUUUAUGCUGAAGUAACUAAAGUGAUCUAAGACUAGUAUCAAUUUUUUUAAUGGUAACCCGGCGACCGGCGGUGUGGUUGGAUUUAAGGAGGAAGCCCCUGAAGUUGAUCGGUUCAGGGAAGGAAUAUGGCAGAGGGCAGGGCACCGGCGAUCCAGUGCUCUAUUCAAUUGCCAUGCCGCUCGUUUUCCAUCUGCUCCUGCCAUCUUGUCCAUAGACUACAGCCCAAAGAAGCGUGGAAGGCAUUAGAGUAGCCAUGACUCAUAGGCCACGUCGGAGCCUGCACCAGAGCUGAGAAUAGACUUUGAAGCUCAGUGGUCUGCGGCAGUUGGUUCAGGCCGAGGCAGUGAUGCAGUCUACACAGCCCAUUGGGCUCUAAUGAAUCGUCACCACUUACCAAAAGAGGAUCCUACAAUUUUUCUGACGGUGCUACGGCGGGCUGACGCCAGCAUGAACUAUUUUCAUUAUAAAUAAGAGUGGCAUACAGCAUGAUGGGUACAACAGAUACACCUGACACACACAACAAGGAACAAGGAACAACAACACCCGACACGGAAACAAGGAGCAACAGAAGGACAACCAGAAGCGAGUUAUAACAAGCAGCCAACACAAAGAACUUUGCAAUCAUCACCACGAGCGGACCAAGAAGAGAGGGAGCUAGCUUUGUUGGGUCAGUCAAAGGGAGAUCCGCCACCGAGAAGACAUAGAGAAGAAGUCACCUGUUGUGCAAUCACUCUGCACCUUGAAGAGCUAGGAAGUUGCAACCAUCGUCGAAGGGCAUCCCACUGCCUAGGAACGUCGCGACAGAAAGAGCCGUGCCGAAGGGCAAUAUUCCGCCGAGACAGUCCUACACCUCCUCUGGGCCACACCAUGGCCACCAUCACAAUUAGAGAGAACCAGAGCACUAUGCGAGGCCACCAAACCUCAGACGCCGUCAAAGGAAAUCGAACACCGAGACCUCACUGCCGCCACGAGCCACCAAAAAGAGAGGUCAACCAUCAGCAUAGGAUGACCAAGGCAUUGGUCGCCACCACAGAGCACCUCCACCGCCACCGCCCUAUAAUCCAACAAACUAAGCCAACGCUCCAACCCAGACAUCAAUCAACCAACCAUGGAUCCCUGGCUCCUAAAACAACGCCCCCAAGGGGGAAAACGACAUUAAAGAUGUCAGCAUCGUCUGGUCUCGCCUGGAGCACCGGAAAAUAGCGGGCAAUGGUAGCUCCCCAAUGACAUCUUCAUGAAGGGAAAAAACGCCCGGGGGAGUCGCUAUCAUCGUUGCCGAUGAGGUUGGCACUAGGCUUUCAUCUGAAGCAUCCCGGCCCGGCCGACUCUGCAAACGCCGGCCACCGAGUCCGGCAGCUCAAACCUUCCCCCUCCCACCAGUCCACGGCCACCGUCCCUGCUAGGUCCAGCAAGAGACUUCGGCUAUCGCAUCCGCUCACCUUGAGCAUUUGCGCACAGAGUUGGAUCGGCCUCAGUUGCCACCCGCACCCAUUCCCUCGCCGUCAGCCACACCACCCUACCAGCACACGCCUACCCCACCAACAACAGCCACUACCGACCCCCAGACGCAGCCAUGGUCACUGAUGGCCGUGCAAGCUGGAUCUGGGCAUAGAGAGCCCCUAGACUGCGCACGGCAGCUCACCACAGUCACCACGUCGCAUGAGCCAACAUGCCGCGCUGACCACCAUCUCCGCCAUGCGCCACCAGGCCCCGAUCACGGGCGUGGGGACCGCCGAUAAAUGGAGCAAGCCGCUGUCCAAAGGGAGCUAGAUCUAGGGCUGGAGCUCCUCGUGACAGAGCGGUGUUGGAUCUCCCGGUUGACCGAGCAGUCCGAGACUCCGCACGACACGGCGCCACCACUGCCAAUGCGUGCCCUUGUUCACACGUGAGUUUCCGGCGCCACGUCUGGACAAGAGGAGGGAGAGCCGUCCCCGGCGACACCCUCCGGCGGCAGUGGGAGGAGUAAGAGGGAGGUGGGGUGGGUGUCGGUGGCGGCUGGGGUUUCUCCCGAGCUGCCCGCGGGAGUGACACGGGCAAGAGGAUCCUACAGUUGCAACCUCGUGAUUCUGUUUGGGUCCUUGGGGUUGAUUGUUGGGAUAUUUUAGACAUUUUAUUUGGGUAUCAGAGAGUGAAAAACUAAAUGGGAACGAUUUUUCAAAACAAAAAUCAAUAAUAAUUGCAUAACCAGUGAACUUGCCUUGCUAAGGACAAUAGGCAACUCCUUGCUCUCUUUUUCAACCAUAUAAUCACCAAGGUCGCUGUCUUUGACACCUUCGGUCACAAUGCUGUUCCACACAAAGUACUUGUCAUUGACCUGCAUAUGUUCUGAUGCCUCUUCCUUUCGUUCCCUUGUUACCAUAAGUUUUUGUGUGGACUGUGGUGGCAGGAUUCCUCUUGCUGGCUCUGUGUGACACCAUGCCGCAUUUGUUGGCCUGCUAUAUGUAUUGAAACCAACAUUGUAAUCUGUAAUGUUGACUAUCUUAAUUGAGGACAGCACCUUCUUGUUUGGUAAGAUGGGGAAGAAAAGUUCGGGUGGAUCAAAAUGGAUCAGCUCGUAUGAGGCCGGUGAACUUGUCUGCAAAACAGAACAAACACAUGGAUUAAGCGUAUGCUACUUCUAUAAAUGUAACCACUAAGCAUCAAAAGCUGUAGUGUUCCAAUUCUGUACUCAUUGGCACUUCGUUUGAUUCACUGUUCUUUUCGUAUGCUCUCAAGUAUAUACAUCUCCUAUUAUUCUUGAAUGUUUACCAGUGUUUGUUGUUUGUCUUAAUUCGUAUUUAAGAAGAGAAGAAUAAUCUAAAUAAGCAAGUCAAAAAGUGUUCUGAACUGAAGAGGGUACAAGGAGCUCACUAGCUUAAAAUUUGCCUAACGUAACAGGUUCGGGAGCUCCAAAGGUUCAGUAUGCAAAUGAGUUUGGGGGUAAUUAAUUAAUGGGUAUUUAGAUCUUUCUAGGGGUCAAGAGGAAAAAUACAAGGGUAAACAAAAACAUAAAACAGAGUAACUCACCUCUGUAAGAACAAUGGGCAACUCGGUAAUCUUUAUCUCAGACAUGCUAUCAAUGACAUCAUUGACAUCUUCACUCACAAUGCCGUUCCAGACCAUAUAUUUGUCUUUGCAAUGCAUGUCUGUCAGUUCCUUUUCCUCUGUUAUGCUUGUUACCAUAAGUAAUUGUGUGGACCGUGGUGGCAGAAUUCCUUCUGACGGAUUUGUGAAAUACUUUGCUGAAUUGCUUUUCUUGGUGCAUAUACUGAAACCGAUGAAGUGAUCUGUACGGUUGACUAUGUUCACUGAGGACAACACACUCUUGUUUGGAACCAAGGGGAGAAAGAGCUCAGGAGGAUCAAACUGAAUCAACUCAUUUGAGUUUGUCUGAAAGAAAAAGAAAUAGCUGUGGAUCAAUUGGUCCCAUAAGAACAUUUAAGUAGAGUACAUUAUCUUCCCGUGUAAACUACACAAUCAUUAUCCUUCGACUUGAGUAACCCAAGCAUCAUUGACCAAGAUUCCAAGCAACAUUGCAACAAUACAUUAUUUGUUUCUGACAUAACAACCAUGACAAGCUAAUGGGUAACAUUUAAUAGUUGGCGCUCCUAACAGUCCCCCACCUCUACGCAUGCCUUGUCAUUAAAAACGUUCUGGAAUGAUUUGAUGAACGUAGAGUGUCGGGUUCUCGAAGUGGAGGAUGCAUAUGUUGACUAUUUUUUGGACUUAUUCUGAAGUAGAGUUGAAUUCCAACUUGUGGGAACUUUAUAUCAAAAUAUUUAAUUCAGAAUAAGUAUAAAAAAUAAGAAAUCUGAAUUGAUUUUUUUGGUAAAGGAACAUUUCUUUUCUGAAAGAUUUGUAUGAAAAGAUGGUUUGAACUUUUGGACUAGCUAGUGGGUAGCAUGGUAAUAACGAGUGUUUAAAAAAAAGUAAUAACGGGUGUUCUUAACAUUGUAAUGCCACUAGGUUCAAACAUGGAACAAUUUCAUAUGAUUAACUACUUCCUCAAAGAAUUCAAAAGAAAAAUAUAAUGUUUGGACUAUGGCAAGAAGUCUUAUUCUCGAGAAAUUUAGAGGCAAUGACAGUACAUAUUGCAAAGGUAGUCAUUAGUAAAUGUUCUGCAAGCAGUCCUCAUUGAGCUGCAAAAGCUGAAAAGGUACAAGGAGCCCACUGGCAAAAAUAAUGUACUACCUCCGUUCCAAAAUAUAAGAUGUUUUGAUAGGCUAUUUUAGUCUAUUUUGAAACAGAUUAAGUACAUAGAACUACUGAGAUCACUAAAAGGACAUUGACAAAGGGUUCCAGUAACCACAAUAUUUUUUAAUGAAAGUAACCACAGAAUUUCAGAUGGCAUCAAUUCGCAUGCUUUAGAUCUUAGUUUUAGUUGGAGAGGGAGGCAGGACCGCAGGAGUAUAUAAAAUUAAAAUUGACACAUUACAUUAUUAGGGAACUUACCUCCAUGAAAACUAUUGGUAACUCUUUACUCUCCUUCUCAGAUGUGCAUCCUUUCAGGUCGACAGUGUUAACACCUUCAUUCACAAAGCUGCUCCACACAAUGUACUUGUCUUUGCACUGCGUUUCUUCGAGUGCAUCUCCCUUUUGUAUCCUUGUUACCACAAGUUCUUGUGUGGACUGUGGGGACAGGAUUCCACACGGUGGCUCGGUGUUGUACAAUGCCGCAUUAUUUUCCUUUCCAAAUGUAUUGAAACCGAUGUAGUAAUCUGUAAUGUUGACAAUCUUUAUUAAAGACAACAGAUUCUUUUUUGGCGAGAAGGGGAAGCAUAACUCGGGGGGUACAAUCUGUAUCAGCUCAUUUGAGGUAGAUGGAUUUAUCUGUAGAAAAGAACAUAGCUGUAGAUUAACUGGUACUCCCUCCGUUCCAAAAUAGAUGACUCAACUUUGUAUAAAAUUAAUACAAAGUUGAGUCAUCUAUUUUGGAACGGAGGGGGUACAAACGAAUCAUGCAAUAGGAGAACAUCAUCUUGCAGUGUGAACUACUCCCUCCGUAAACAAAUAUAAGAGUGUUUAGAUCACUAAAGUAGUGAUCUAAAUGCUCUUAUAUUUCUUUAAGGAGGGAGUACAUCAUUCCGCUUUUUUCUAGUAGGGUAAAGUAAUAUUUGAUGACCAAAGUGGGACUCUCCCAUGCAUUAGCAAGAAGACGCGGCAAUAUCAAGAAUCUGAAGGUAGACAAUAACGAUUUGACUGCGGUGAUGUUCUGCCACCUCUGCGACUCGUCGUCAACAAAGCCUUGGAAUUGCCUCGCUGGAUAGAGUCUUCGGUUUUAAUUGUUGGGCUCAUGUCCAUGUAUCUUGACAUGCUUUGGGGUUAAAUCUAGUAUGGACUAAAACUACAUUUUAGUAUUGAUUCCUAUCUCGAAAUUAAACUUGUAAUAAGUAAACAUAUUUUCAUGGGACCAUAUUUUGUAAAAUGUCAAGUUUUUGUAAGUCACUUUAAAAUUUUGCUACACGAAUAGAACCCGCUAGUCUGCAUUACAAUUGGCAUAUACCCCCUUCUAUUCAAAUAAAGAGGAUUGUAUAAAACUCAGACCAAAUGAGAGAGGAGUAAGAAAAAGGAGGGAGUAGUAACUUAUAUAUAGUUCCAAGGUUUAUUAACUCUCUUAAUUACUUGGAUGACCUCACAAACGGUGAUCACUAAUUACCAAUCUAAUCUUUAUGGCUGAGUGGAGAGAGAUGUCCUUUUUUUGAUACUAUGAUUACAAUGACUAUUAAUGAAAAAAUGAUGGUCCAGAUACUCUACAAUGCCCCAUAAUUUGGGUAAAAUUUCUGGCCUGGGAUGCCCUAAAGUACUCAUGUAAAAUAAAUUUCACAUUGUUAAAACUUUGGAUGAAAAUUUUAAAAUUUAGAAUAUGCAAUAUAGACUGAAAAGGCCAAUGGUGAAUAAAAAACGAUUUUUUUCGUGACGAACUAUUAUUAUUAUUAUUUUGAAAUCAUUAUUAAGAAAAUUAUUAGGAAUAAUGAGAGCUUUAACCUUCUAAUCAAACCAGUGUUGAACACAGAACCACUUUGCUUGUUUGGAAAAGCCAAAAAUCAUAUUGAUGUUUUAAAAGAAAAGAAACGGUUUAAAUAAUUAUGAGAAGUCUAAGGAUUUGGAAGAAAUUACAAGUCGGCAUGACAGUGAGGAAUAACAUUGUAGGCCUAGACACUAAAGAACAUAUUGGGUGGCGGUCUAGUGAACCAUCACUGAUUACAGUGUUGUGUGAACCUUAGAUAUGCAGAGGCGGGAGUGAUCUCAGUAUGGUUGUAUCAUCUUGAUGUAAUUGUCUGAGUUCAAUAAAAGCUUCCAUUAUCUAAAAAAUAUAGUGAUGUGUUUUCACUGUGUUGCAAACAUAUCCAUCAUCUAAAGUAGGAACUCACUCAUCCUCCAUUCUUAAAUAGUUGGAACUCACUACCUUUUUUUUUUCUCUUCAUGCAACUAUGCCACAUCAUCAAGUCACAUGCAUGUGGUGAUAAGUUACAAUUUGUGCACUAAUCUAUUAAUGCAACCAUGCCACCUCAGCAAGCAUGCAUGUCAAUUUGUUUCACUAAAUGUUACACGCUACAUUUUUGUACUUGGAGCAAAUAUAUGUAGGUCAUGUUACACAUUUUUUAUUAUUAAAAAUGGCACCCCGUUUGACUUCAACCCAAUAAAUUUGUUCUUUUAUACAACAUUUUAUCAUUGCUUCAUAUACUUCAUUGUCUUCACAAUAUAUUCCAUCAUUGCUUCAUAUACUUCAUUGUCUUCAUUGCUUCAUAUACUUCAUUGUCUUCACAAUAUAUUCCGUUAUACUUCAUUGUCUUCAUUGUCUUAACGAUUUGACUGCGGUGAUGUUCUGCCACCUCUGCGACUCGUCGUCAACAAAGCCUUGGAAUUGCCUCGCUGGAUAGAGUCUUCGGUUUUAAUUGUUGGGCUCAUGUCCAUGUAUCUUGACAUGCUUUGGGGUUAAAUCUAGUAUGGACUAAAACUACAUUUUAGUAUUGAUUCCUAUCUCGAAAUUAAACUUGUAAUAAGUAAACAUAUUUUCAUGGGACCAUAUUUUGUAAAAUGUCAAGUUUUUGUAAGUCACUUUAAAAUUUUGCUACACGAAUAGAACCCGCUAGUCUGCAUUACAAUUGGCAUAUACCCCCUUCUAUUCAAAUAAAGAGGAUUGUAUAAAACUCAGACCAAAUGAGAGAGGAGUAAGAAAAAGGAGGGAGUAGUAACUUAUAUAUAGUUCCAAGGUUUAUUAACUCUCUUAAUUACUUGGAUGACCUCACAAACGGUGAUCACUAAUUACCAAUCUAAUCUUUAUGGCUGAGUGGAGAGAGAUGUCCUUUUUUUGAUACUAUGAUUACAAUGACUAUUAAUGAAAAAAUGAUGGUCCAGAUACUCUACAAUGCCCCAUAAUUUGGGUAAAAUUUCUGGCCUGGGAUGCCCUAAAGUACUCAUGUAAAAUAAAUUUCACAUUGUUAAAACUUUGGAUGAAAAUUUUAAAAUUUAGAAUAUGCAAUAUAGACUGAAAAGGCCAAUGGUGAAUAAAAAACGAUUUUUUUCGUGACGAACUAUUAUUAUUAUUAUUUUGAAAUCAUUAUUAAGAAAAUUAUUAGGAAUAAUGAGAGCUUUAACCUUCUAAUCAAACCAGUGUUGAACACAGAACCACUUUGCUUGUUUGGAAAAGCCAAAAAUCAUAUUGAUGUUUUAAAAGAAAAGAAACGGUUUAAAUAAUUAUGAGAAGUCUAAGGAUUUGGAAGAAAUUACAAGUCGGCAUGACAGUGAGGAAUAACAUUGUAGGCCUAGACACUAAAGAACAUAUUGGGUGGCGGUCUAGUGAACCAUCACUGAUUACAGUGUUGUGUGAACCUUAGAUAUGCAGAGGCGGGAGUGAUCUCAGUAUGGUUGUAUCAUCUUGAUGUAAUUGUCUGAGUUCAAUAAAAGCUUCCAUUAUCUAAAAAAUAUAGUGAUGUGUUUUCACUGUGUUGCAAACAUAUCCAUCAUCUAAAGUAGGAACUCACUCAUCCUCCAUUCUUAAAUAGUUGGAACUCACUACCUUUUUUUUUCUCUUCAUGCAACUAUGCCACAUCAUCAAGUCACAUGCAUGUGGUGAUAAGUUACAAUUUGUGCACUAAUCUAUUAAUGCAACCAUGCCACCUCAGCAAGCAUGCAUGUCAAUUUGUUUCACUAAAUGUUACACGCUACAUUUUUGUACUUGGAGCAAAUAUAUGUAGGUCAUGUUACACAUUUUUUAUUAUUAAAAAUGGCACCCCGUUUGACUUCAACCCAAUAAAUUUGUUCUUUUAUACAACAUUUUAUCAUUGCUUCAUAUACUUCAUUGUCUUCACAAUAUAUUCCGAGAGCAUUCCCAAAUUUGUUUCUGCAAUAGUUUUAGUUUUUUAGCAUCUAUUUAUGCAUUUGCUUUACCAACAUUCCCGCAGCAACACUCGGGGCAUCAUCUAGUAAAAAGAAAGGUAAGGUGCUUGGAGCUAGCUCACUAUCUUGUAUUCUAAAAUCUUAGUUUAAGAUUCGGAGGCCAAAUACACAGGGUAACAAAAAGUAAAACUAAUGCAUUCAAAAAUUAGGGAGCUCGCCUUGGCAAGAACAAUGGGCAACUCUGUAAUCUCUUCGUUGGCAACAUGACAAGUACGGCUGUGGUAGACGGGAAACUCUGUACCAUCUUUAUUCUCCACAACGCAAUCACAGAGGUUGUCAAUGGGCAACUCCGUACCUUCUUCAUUCAACAAAAGGAGAUCACUGGCUUUGACAUCUUGAGUAAGAAUGAAAUUGUGCAGGAAGCACUUGUCUUUGCUCUCGCUAUCUUCUAGUUCAUUCUCCAUUGUUUCUCUUUUCACCACAAGUCUUUGAGUAGACCGUGGUGGCACAAUUCCAUUUCUUGGUUCUGUGUCGUACCACGCCUUAUUUUUUUUCCAGACAUAGUUCUUAAAAUAGAUGGAGUAAUCUGUCAUGUUGACCAUAUUAACCGAGGACAGCGAUGUCUUGUUGGGCAAGAAUGGGAAGCAGAGUUCAGGAGGAUCAAAUCGGAUCAGCUCGUCUGAAGCACAUGGGCUUAUCUGCAAAAAUUAACAGAACUGUGGAUAAGGCACGGAAAACGAAUUCUUGAUUUUUUUUCUUGAAAAAAUGACACGGAAAAUGAUGCAAUGUGAACAUCGCCAUCAGUUCAUUUCUACUGAAACAAAUCAAUCAUCGUUGACCUAUUCAUGAUUUCACAUGGAAGCGAUCUAAGUGUGAAACGCCUUCAGCGUACAAGAUAUAAUUUUUGGAGCAAUUCAGGUUUACUAAUGGGUGAAGUAGCUCUAAAGCACAUCACAAGUCGAGAUGACAGUGAGGAGUGAGGAAUUAAAUUGGCUGCCAUUGAUAUUUUGCAACAUAUUUCCAUUGUGUUUGCAAAGAUAUUUAUCAUGUAAAGAAAACAUGGGUCAAAGGGUUAAUUGUCACCACAAGGAUCAUUCCAUUGGAAUGGAGACCUCAUGAUUCUACUAGAUGGUAUGGGAGGCCAGAGAUAAGGGUAACAAAAAGCAAAACUAUUGCAUUGCAUAAUUAGAGAACUCACCUUCUGAAGAUUUAUGGGCAACUCCUUAGGCACUUCUUCAGUGAUGAAAGGAAUGAGGUUGUCAGCUGCGACACCUUCAGCCACAAUCAUGUUCCACACAAAGAACUUGUUCUCCCACUUCAUAUCUUCUAUUUCUGUUUCUUUUUUCUUUGCUACCCUUUUUAUAAGGAUUCUUUGAGUGGACCGUGGUGGUAGAAUUCCUCGACCCGAUCUUGGGACCACAUUUCUUGUCAACGAAGAUGUAGUUUCUAGAGUCAACAAAGAUGCAAUGAAACCAACAUAGUAAUCUGUAAUAUUUUCUAUGUUAAGCCAUGCCAUUGAAGCCUUGUUUGGCCAGCAGGGGAUUCUGAGCUCAGGUGGAUCAAACUGGAUCAGAUCAUUUGAGGUACAUGGGGUCAUCUGCCGAAAUGAACACAGAUAUGGGUUAAUAUUAAUCUGAGAAACAUGCAAGCAGAGAACAUUACUUGUUCGUUUCAUAUUGAAAUAAAUUGAUCAUCAUUCACAAAGUUGGGACGUUGUGCCACCAGCAACAAUAUUCCCAAUGAGAUGAUAUUGUAUAGUUUUUUGUUUUUAAAAAACCAUGAGCGCUGCUUUCAAUCAUUAGAAAUCGCCAAGGCAACCCGAAGAAAACAAACACGAAAAUCAUAGAGUCCCAAACGCAAACUGAAAAGAGAAAGAAAACAAAGAUUAUACAACUACAAAAAAAAAA
This 32818-nucleotide long non-coding RNA is filed under the name Triticum aestivum (bread wheat). RNAcentral's name for it is "long non-coding RNA (TAES_LNC026795)". The stretch from base 27563 to 27649 matches the Rfam family "MIR1120/MIR1122 microRNA precursor family". Lineage: Eukaryota; Viridiplantae; Streptophyta; Magnoliopsida; Poales; Poaceae. The record is from RNAcentral.